UUUCUGUAAGAAUUAGCCCCGGCUAAUUCCGUGCCAGCCACCGCGGUAAUUCGGAGGUGCAGCGUUAUCCGGUUUUAUUGGGUUUAAAGGGUGCGUAGGCGGCUUAUUAAGUCAGUUGUGAAAUCCUAGUGCUUAACGCUAGAACUGCAAUUGAUACUAUUAGGCUUGAGUUAAGAAUAGGUAAGUAGAAUUUAUGGUGUAGUAGUGAAAUGCUUAGAUAUCAUAAGGAAUACCAAUAGCGUAGGCAGCUUACUGGUCUUUAACUGACGCUGAGGCACGAAAGCGUGGGGAGCAAACAGGAUUAGAUACCCUGGUAGUCCACGCCGUAAACGAUGAUCACUCGGUAUACAU
This 351-nucleotide ribosomal RNA is filed under the name Cardinium endosymbiont of Drosophila mexicana. Its description in RNAcentral is "bacterial SSU rRNA". It matches the Rfam family "Bacterial small subunit ribosomal RNA", at positions 475 to 827 of the family's 1533-position model. The record is from RNAcentral. Lineage: Bacteria; Pseudomonadati; Bacteroidota; Cytophagia; Cytophagales; Amoebophilaceae.